Molecule: ribosomal RNA, 445 nt
Filed under: uncultured bacterium
Lineage: Bacteria
Description: partial 16S ribosomal RNA
Rfam family: Bacterial small subunit ribosomal RNA
Source: RNAcentral
CCUACGGGCGGCUGCAGUGGGGAAUUUUGGACAAUGGGGGCAACCCUGAUCCAGCCAUGCCGCGUGAGUGAAGAAGGCCUUCGGGUUGUAAAGCUCUUUCGGCCGGGAGGAAAUCGCAUAGGUUAAUACCCUGUGUGGAUGACAGUACCGGAAUAAGAAGCACCGGCUAACUACGUGCCAGCAGCCGCGGUAAUACGUAGGGUGCGAGCGUAAAGCGGAAUUAGGCGGUUUAAAGCGAGAGGCGGCGGAUCCCCGGGCUCAACCUGGGAACUGCGCUUGUGACUGGAAGGCUAGAGUAUGGCAGAGGGGGGUGGAAUUCCACGUGUAGCAGUGAAAUGCGUAGAGAUGUGGAGGAACACCGAUGGCGAAGGCAGCCCCCUGGGCCAAUACUGACGCUCAUGCACGAAAGCGUGGGGAGCAAACAGGAUUAGAUACCCCUGUAGUC